UAAUUAAAAGAUUAAUAUUAGGAUUUCAUGAAAAUAUUCUUUUCUUUAGUAAUAGUUCGAAUAAGUUUAUUUUUUAUAGUUUAUUAGUAUAGAAUUAGAAUUUUUUGUUUUAAAAAAAAGAAGAUUUUAUUUUUCGUACCUUGUGUAUCAGGGUUUAAAAAUUUAAAAUUGAUAAUUCAGUUUUCCCGAAUCAUUGAGUUCUAUUUUAUUAUUUUUAAAAAUGUUGAAUAAUUUUAUUUAAUAAUAUUUUAGAAAUGAAACGUUUUCGUUCUUUGAGAUAUCUGGUUUUUUAAGAUAAAAGUUUAAUUUUAUUUACUUUGAUUUGUUAAUCUUUUCUUGGUUAGUCAUUUGAGAGUAGUUUUAUAACUAAGGGGUUCAGCUUUUGGUUAUUACUAAAUUAUUAUUAUUAUUUAUUUUAAGUACAAUUAUAAUUGUUGAUCUUUUAAAUAAUUUUAUAUUUAAGAAUAAUUUUAUUAAGAUUUUAUAUUUAUUAGUUUUUAUAUUAAAAUUUAAUUUUUAAUUUUUUUUUGUUAGUAAUAAUGUUAAAAUUAGUAAAUUUUUUGGUGUUUUGUUUUAUUAUUGUUAGUUUAGUAAAAGGAACUCGGCAAAUAAAUUUUCCGCCUGUUUAAUAAAAACAUGUCCUUUUGAUAAUAAUUUAAGGUUUAAUCUGCUCAAUGAAGUUUUAAAUAGCCGCGGUAUUUUGACCGUGCAAAGGUAGCAUAAUAAUUAGUUUCUUUAUUGGGAGCUUGUAUGAAUGAUUGGACGAGAAAAAUACUGUCUCUUUCUUAUAAAUUGAAAUUAACUUUUUAGUGAAAAGGCUUAAAUUAAAGUUAAAGACGAGAAGACCCUAUAGAGUUUAAUUUUGUUGUAUUUAUAAUUAAAUUAGAAUUUUAAAUUUAUAUUUAUUACUUAAUUUGAUUGGGGUGAUUUUUGGAUUUGUAAAACUCCUAUAGCUUAUAAUCAUUAAUUUAUGAAUUUUGAUUCUAGAAUUAUUUAAUUUUAAAAUAAAUUACCUUAGGGAUAACAGCGUAAUUUUACUUUAGAGUUCAUAUUGAAAGUAGAGUUUGCGACCUCGAUGUUGGAUUAAAAUUAAUUGCUGGCGCAGAAGCUGGUAAAUUGAGUCUGUUCGACUUUUAAAAUUUUACAUGAUCUGAGUUUAAACCGGUGUGAGCCAGGUUGGUUUCUAUCUUAAUUAAAUUAAGGAUUUUUAGUACGAAAGGACCAAUUUCUUAAUAUUUUAUUUUGUUUUAUGAAUAUGAUU
Molecule: ribosomal RNA, 1261 nt
Filed under: Dicronychus cinereus
Lineage: Eukaryota; Metazoa; Arthropoda; Insecta; Coleoptera; Elateridae
Description: 16S ribosomal RNA
Rfam family: Archaeal large subunit ribosomal RNA (bases 1020-1178)
Source: RNAcentral